Molecule: long non-coding RNA, 626 nt
Filed under: Mytilus galloprovincialis (Mediterranean mussel)
Lineage: Eukaryota; Metazoa; Mollusca; Bivalvia; Mytilida; Mytilidae
Source: RNAcentral
CAGCAGGAAACUUUUAUCUUGCUAUGUUUGCUCUUGCUUAAGUCUUAUGUUAUAUAUUGAUGUGUACAUUCUAAAAAGAUUAACGAAAUUUGAGCGCAAAUAUAAACAACUGCUGUCCCUACUUCGUUCUAAGCUUUAAAUGCCUAUCUAUAUAUGCGGGUUUUUUUUUAAUUUAAAUUAUCGGAUGGCAUAAUGUCGCGGAAUUUCAUUGAAUUAUUAGUUUGAUUUCAAUUUAUAUAUGCACAAAGGAUGACCUGAUGAUCACCAAAGAAAUAACAGAACUUGCAACACGAAAAGAAGGAGAUAUAAUCAAGAUGAGCAAAUGUAGGCAGUUUUAACCGAUCCAUAAUUUAUUCCAGGGUAUGAGUUAUGCUGAACUCAAAACAUAUAUCAGACUAUAGAAAAUUGAAAGAACAGAUGCCAGGAUCCGUAUAAGUUUUUGAAAGAAGAUUUCAUGUUCUUGGAGUUCCAUCUAUAGAUCCGCUAAUAAGCCAGCCCCUGGAAACAUUACAGAUUCUAUGUUUGUUAGAACUACAAUGUUAAAAUUUGUCCAAUUGGCCGCAUAUUUAUAAAUUAUGCAUUAAUUGCACAAUCAUUGAUACUUUCCCUUUGGACACACCGAGCAC